RNAcentral lists this transfer RNA (79 nucleotides) under Agrobacterium phage OLIVR1. RNAcentral's name for it is "tRNA-Thr". It matches the Rfam family "tRNA". From Rfam's summary of the family: Transfer RNA (tRNA) molecules are approximately 80 nucleotides in length. Their secondary structure includes four short double-helical elements and three loops (D, anti-codon, and T loops). Further hydrogen bonds mediate the characteristic L-shaped molecular structure. tRNAs have two regions of fundamental functional importance: the anti-codon, which is responsible for specific mRNA codon recognition, and the 3' end, to which the tRNAs corresponding amino acid is attached (by aminoacyl-tRNA synthetases). tRNAs cope with the degeneracy of the genetic code in two manners: having more than one tRNA (with a specific anti-codon) for a particular amino acid; and 'wobble' base-pairing, i.e. permitting non-standard base-pairing at the 3rd anti-codon position. The record is from RNAcentral. Lineage: Duplodnaviria; Heunggongvirae; Uroviricota; Caudoviricetes; Schitoviridae. RNAcentral also lists the same sequence under 2 other names.
CCAAGGGUAGUUCAACUGGUAGAACCCCGGGUAGGUAGCUCCUAUCUGGUAUAUGGAAGUUCAAAUCUUCCCCCUUGGG